This 375-nucleotide ribosomal RNA is filed under the name uncultured organism. Its description in RNAcentral is "partial 16S ribosomal RNA". It matches the Rfam family "Bacterial small subunit ribosomal RNA", at positions 527 to 896 of the family's 1533-position model. The record is from RNAcentral.
GUAGGGGGCGAGCGUUGUCCGGAUUUAUUGGGCGUAAAGAGCUCGUAGGCGGCUCAGCAAGUCGGCCGUGAAAGCCUGAGGCUCAACCUCAGGACGCCGGUCGAAACUGCUGUGGCUAGGGUUCGGUAGAGGAGAGUGGAAUUCCCGGUGUAGCGGUGAAAUGCGCAGAUAUCGGGAGGAACACCAGUAGCGAAGGCGGCUCUCUGGGCCGAUACCGACGCUGAGGAGCGAAAGCUAGGGGAGCGAACAGGGAUUAGGUACCCUGGUAGUCCUAGCUGUAAACGUUGGGCACUAGGUGUGGCGGACUCAUUGACGUCUGCCGUGCCGAAGCUAACGCAUUAAGUGCCCCCGCCUGGGAGUACGGUCGCAAGGCUA